AAAUUUGCAAAAGUUGGGAGCAACUUCACUCAUAGGCACAUUGUGGAAGGUGACACACUGACAAUUGAACAAACAGUUGUCCAAGAUCGUGGUCACUACAUCUGCUUGGCAGAAAACAGAGAAGGCAUAGCUCGAGCCACUGCUGUGCUGGAAGUGGAUCGGCGGGAGGUUCCACUUGUGGAGAUCUACCCCAAGAACAUACCUCCACUUCACCAUGGAGACACUGCAUUUCUGCAGUGCAGACCCACAGCUGGGAUACCAACACCGACAGUGGAAUGGACGCGGGCUGACGGCAGUCCUUUCACUCCCAGCACCGAAUUGACUGGUCCUGGAAUAAUUCGAUUUACUAGAUUCUCCAAGGAUGAAGAAGGAACAUAUGUUUGUUCUGCUGAGAAUGCAAUGGGCAAG
Rhipicephalus sanguineus (brown dog tick) is the source of this 408-nucleotide long non-coding RNA. RefSeq lists it as uncharacterized. The record is from RefSeq and is a predicted model, not a curated record. NCBI's taxonomy places the organism in Eukaryota, Metazoa, Arthropoda, Arachnida, Ixodida, Ixodidae. The transcript has 4 exons.